AACGAACGCUGGCGGCAUGCCUAACACAUGCAAGUCGAACGAGACCUUCGGGUCUAGUGGCGCACGGGUGCGUAACGCGUGGGAACCUGCCCUUAGGUUCGGAAUAACUCCCCGAAAGGGGUGCUAAUACCGGAUAAUGUCUUCGGACCAAAGAUUUAUCGCCUUUGGAUGGGCCCGCGUUGGAUUAGCUAGUUGGUAGGGUAAAAGCCUACCAAGGCGACGAUCCAUAGCUGGUCUGAGAGGAUGAGCAGCCACACUGGGACUGAGACACGGCCCAGACUCCUACGGGAGGCAGCAGUGGGGAAUAUUGGAAAAUGGGCGAAAGGCUGAUCCAGCAAUGCCGCGUGAGUGAUGAAGGCAGGAGGGUUGUAAAGCUCGUUUACCCGGGAUGAUAAUGACAGUACCGGGAGAAUAAGCUCCGGCUAACUCCGUG
This 433-nucleotide ribosomal RNA is filed under the name uncultured bacterium. RNAcentral's name for it is "partial 16S ribosomal RNA". It matches the Rfam family "Bacterial small subunit ribosomal RNA", at positions 29 to 507 of the family's 1533-position model. The record is from RNAcentral.